CACAUUUGCAUUUAUUGAACAAGAUUUCAAGCCACGGUAUCAACUAGUGUACUAAAGGAGAUGCUCCUCAUCAGACCUGUGCUCCAGACCUCUCAACAGCUUCACUGCCCUUCUCUGGACAUGCUUGUAGAGGAUGAAAGAAUGCGCCUCUUUAAACCCCUGUGAUUCAUGAUGUUACUUCAGUAGUAGACCAUUUCACUUCAUUUCACUUCUCCAGCUUUUGAUAGGCUUCAAUGCAUUGUCUCCUGAUGUUCCUGAAAGUAUGAAGUAUUUUCUGCUAUUUCAAGGUGUUCUCUAGCCUGUCUGCUACAAUAUGAAGAAGGACUCAGUGGCAGCAUUGAAUAAUUAUUUACAGAAGAGACUGGCAAAUAAUUGUGGAACAGAGAUGCAUAAAGAAACCUUUCUAAAGGGAGCAGUGGAUCUGUUCUUAAGACUGAUGACAAUUUCCUGGCUCUCCAUGGUAUUACUCCUGUCUAAAACACUAUUCUGUAUGUCAUUUCCUACUGCAUGUUUUUCUUUACCUCAAGUCUACUCUUCCCUAGUUUUCUCAUGUAAUAAAGCACUCUAAAAUACA
Molecule: long non-coding RNA, 574 nt
Filed under: Gallus gallus (chicken)
Lineage: Eukaryota; Metazoa; Chordata; Aves; Galliformes; Phasianidae
Description: lncRNA (ENSGALG00010014947.1)
Source: RNAcentral